UUACCACGGGAGGCAGCAGUAGGGAAUUUUCGGCAAUGGGGGGAACCCUGACCGAGCAACGCCGCGUGAACGAAGAAGUUAUUCGUAAUGUAAAGUUCUUUUGUCAGGGAAGAAAGAGGAAUUUGACGGUACCUGACUAAGAAGCCCCGGCUAACUACGUGCCAGCAGCCGCGGUAAUACGUAGGGGGCAAGCGUUAUCCGGAUUUACUGGGUGUAAAGGGAGCGUAGACGGCAUGGCAAGUCAGAUGUGAAAGCCCGGGGCUCAACCCCGGGACUGCAUUUGAAACUGUCAGGCUGGAGUGCAG
This 305-nucleotide ribosomal RNA is filed under the name uncultured bacterium. Its description in RNAcentral is "bacterial SSU rRNA". It matches the Rfam family "Bacterial small subunit ribosomal RNA", at positions 335 to 651 of the family's 1533-position model. The record is from RNAcentral.